RNAcentral lists this ribosomal RNA (469 nucleotides) under uncultured bacterium. Its description in RNAcentral is "SSU rRNA". It matches the Rfam family "Bacterial small subunit ribosomal RNA", at positions 28 to 494 of the family's 1533-position model. The record is from RNAcentral.
GAUGAACGCUGGCGGCGUGCCUAACACAUGCAAGUCGAACGGAGUUUAUUUUACAGAUUUUCUUCGGAAUUGAAGUAGCUUAAACUUAGUGGCGGACGGGUGAGUAACGCGUGGGUAACCUGCCUCAUACUGGGGGAUAACAACCGGAAACGGUUGCUAAAACCGCAUAAUAUGCAAACAUCACAUGAUGAUUGCAUUAAAUAUUUAUAGGUAUGAGAUGGGCCCGCGUCUGAUUAGCUAGUUGGUGAGAUAAAAGCUCACCAAGGCGACGAUCAGUAGCCGGCUUGAGAGAGUGACCGGCCACAUUGGGACUGAGACACGGCCCAAACUCCUACGGGAGGCAGCAGUGGGGAAUAUUGCACAAUGGGGGAAACCCUGAUGCAGCGACGCCGCGUGAGUGAAGAAGUAUUUCGGUAUGUAAAGCUCUAUCAGCAGGGAAGAAAAUGACGGUACCUGACUAAGAAGCCCC